This is a small nucleolar RNA of Suncus etruscus (white-toothed pygmy shrew), 100 nucleotides long. RefSeq annotates it as small nucleolar RNA U13. NCBI's taxonomy places the organism in Eukaryota, Metazoa, Chordata, Mammalia, Eulipotyphla, Soricidae. The record is from RefSeq and is a predicted model, not a curated record. The transcript has a single exon.
AUUCUUGUUUAGUUCAUGAAUAUAAUGAUUGGGUACUUAUACUCUUGUGUGAUAUGUACCUCUCUUAAACCUUGUUAUGACAUUGAUACAUUUCCCUUUU